Molecule: long non-coding RNA, 1577 nt
Filed under: Bemisia tabaci
Lineage: Eukaryota; Metazoa; Arthropoda; Insecta; Hemiptera; Aleyrodidae
Description: lncRNA ENSSSA1NGG004450
Source: RNAcentral
UUGCACCAGAAAUUUUGAGUGGAGCAACGGUUUUCAAAAAAGGUUUUCAACCUAGUCAUUAAGGAUGGCUGGAUUUCGUCCACUUUCCUCUUUUUCACUUUUAUCUUCCAGCCAUCACCUAUAAACUUAAUGACUAGACUUGCAGCUGAUAGCUCCACUGAUUAUAGACUUGCUGUCUCGCCACUCGUGACGCCAUCAAGUCUAUAAAAGCUUGUGCUGCCCGUUUCUCAUGGUCCUUUACCAACUUGACCCGUACUAGCACGUAUGUGCCUUUUCUAGCCCUUCGGGCACAAGUGUGACUUCUCUUUGUAACUCCGUAAUGCUUCCAAAUCUCUAAUACAACCUUUCGGCUCAAACAACUAUCUUGUUCAAUUCUUGCUCUCCCACAAAUUCCACUAUUUCUAGUGCGCGUAUGAAGGAUAUUUAGGUGUUUCAGUCCGUCUAAACUCAACAAAAUUCAUCAUCGUGACAGUCACAUAGUCACGAUAGUCAGCUCAAGCUGAUUCAGUUCGUUCUUAAUUUUCAAUAUGGAUGACUUUUGCCUCUUUUUUUCAGCAAUAAUAAUAUUCCACUUAUAUAUUAUUUCCCAGGCACACGGAAUACUGGUGUCAAACGAAGAAGAGGCCGUGGGUGAUUCUACCCCAUAUUUACGCCCUCUCAAGGUUACUGGUGCAAAGGAGGAGCGUCCAGGAAUCCGUGAAUAUGGAAUCUUGAACACUGAAAGUUUUAUGAAUGCGGUAGGUUCGAGGUAUUUCGUUGACAGAACAAUGUUGAUUCGCCAAUUUUUCAAAUCCCGGGAAGAAGAACAUAUGGUCUUCCAUGGACCGAAGCGACUCGGUAAAACCGUUAACAUGGAUAUGAUUAGAGAGUUCGUUGAGUUAAAAACGGACGAGAAUGGCCACAUAGCCGACAGAAACAACCUUACGAAGCGCAAUGUGUUUGAAAAACUUGCCAUUGGGCAGGAUAAGGAAGUCUUCAGAGAGUACUUUGCUGCUUUUCCUGUAAUUCAUUUCGUAUUUAGUAUGGCUCCUGACUCAUACGAUGAUUUUUUAGGAGAAUUUGCGAUCGAAAUCAGAAAGGAAUAUGCAAGACAAGGAUACAUGCACUUUUUCAAUUACGGUGAAUACAGCUUACCUAAGCAAGCACACGCCGAUAAUCCUGAACUCGUGAGGAUAUUUAAGAAAUAUACGAUAGACCCACAAAAACUAUCCGAAUCGGAACUUUUAGACGCAGGACAUGAAUUGGCUAAUCUGCUUUACGCCGCAUUCAGAAGACCGGUCAUUUUACUCGUAGAUGAAUACGAUGUGCCGAUUAUUUACGCAUUAUUCAAUAAAAAAUUUCAGAAAACGAGAGUGACAAAAUCAUUACAUUUCUUACCAGAUUUUUAAAGCGUUUAGUAAAACCGAGUAAGAAGCUUGUCAAGCGCUCGCUGCUUACUGGCAUCACUAGAUUAGGAAGUACUUACACUCUAGAAAUCAACAAUUUACGGUUACAGCGAAUAUUUGACGAUCCGAAAAUUGCCCCGUAUUAUGGCUUUACACGGGAGGAAGUCAUAAACCUUACAAAAAAAUUUUCGG